UACAGAGGACUCAAGCGUUGUUCGGAUUCAUUGGGCGUAAAGGGCGCGUAGGUGGCGCCGUAAGUCGGGUGUGAAAUUUCGGAGCUUAACUCCGAAACUGCAUUCGAUACUGCGGUGCUUGAGGACUGGAGAGGAGACUGGAAUUCAUGGUGUAGCAGUGAAAUGCGCAGAUAUCAGGAGGAACACCAAUAGCGAAGGCAGCUCGCUGGGACGUAACUGACACUGAGAUGCGAAAGCGUGGGGAGCAAACAGG
RNAcentral lists this ribosomal RNA (253 nucleotides) under uncultured bacterium. RNAcentral describes it as "partial 16S ribosomal RNA". It matches the Rfam family "Bacterial small subunit ribosomal RNA", at positions 524 to 776 of the family's 1533-position model. The record is from RNAcentral.